GGGAGUUAUUGAGUUUAACAGUCACUCCUUACCUGGCUUUUCUCUAAGCUAGAAAGGGGGACUUUUGUUCUAUCAUCUUCUGGGAAUAGACUAAUCUUGAGGAAAGAUUAGGAAAGUCCUGGGUGUGGAGAACUGCCUUGGAUAUCUGUCUUUCCCUGAAGUUCUGAGACCAGUCUGGCUGAGACAACUUUGUUAAGAAUUAGAGAUGAGGAAAACAAUGUCUGAGCAGAAGGUUCUGCCUACCCUGGUUCUCUGACAAAAUCCCUUUACUGUACUUAUUGAGAGAAAGAGCGUGAGAGACAGAUGGAAAGAUGCAGAAAGAAAGAGGUAAAGAUGGAAACAUUAGCAGAACAGAAGUACCAGCUGCAGCAAAAUAGAAGUGUCCUGAGAAGAGAAGAGAUGGCCAAACCAUUAUGACUCAUUUCACAGAACAAGGAUUGAAGCAUAUGGAAAGUAAUUACAUUCAAAAUAUGCUAGAAAGUGAUUUCAUGAAUAAAGAUACAUCCCUCUCUACUCAAACUGACAGGCAGAGGCAAAAGAGCCAAAACAGGUACAGGAAAAGAAAUGUUUGA
RNAcentral lists this long non-coding RNA (572 nucleotides) under Monodelphis domestica (gray short-tailed opossum). RNAcentral's name for it is "lncRNA (ENSMODG00000033463.2)". The record is from RNAcentral. Lineage: Eukaryota; Metazoa; Chordata; Mammalia; Didelphimorphia; Didelphidae.